GGUGCGAGUGGGCCUCCUGCGGGGCUCGCUACGGAGCGAGGGGAGAGGCGCGCUGGGAGGGGUCAGACCAAUUGAUGCGCUCCCCGGGGUACCCCCCUCUGAGCUCCCCCCCGCCAGGUGGCUGAGCCCGGGCUACCCGCCCUCUGAGCCCGCCCCCCCUCCGCGCCAGGUGGCUGAGCCCGGGCUACCCGCCCUCUGAGCCCCCUCCCCCCGGCCAGGGGGGGGCGAGCAUGUGGCCGAGCGGUGCCAGCAAACCCUGGCAGAAAUCUGUGGGGGGGGGGCACCUGACCGUAACUCGUCCCCCAUCGCCUCUGCUGGCAUCGCUCGGGGAGGUGGAUGAAGGGCAGCGGCGGGAGAGCCGCCCCUGCCGCCCCGCUGAGUGGCCAGGCUGAAGUGCUGCCGCGGGGCAGCUGCAGCGGCUCCGUGUCGAGAUCGGGGAGGCCGGACCUGACUCCGGUGUGACUUGAGGGGCUCAGAAUUCGCUCUGUUUUCCUUCCGAUGUGAAGGCGAAUAAGGAACGAAACCCUGUUACCUGAUCACAGCUCCUGGGUUGUCUGUAAUCCUGGGACUGCCAUAAGGAAUCCAGGUGGGGAACUGAGGCACAGGGAAGCUAAGCGACUUACCGAAGGUAACAAAGGGAGUCUGUGGUGGAGCAGGGAAUUGCACCCAGAUCUCCUAAAUCACAGUUUCCCGGAGGGGACGUACGCCGUUCCUGGAGGUACCGCAGUACCAGGUUGAUGUGUGGCGUGGAUGAAGCAAGCUCCUAUUCCGUCUCCCUGGCAGAGCAGAGCUCAGUACAUCCAGAAAGGUGCAUAUUUUGCACAAUGCCAUGUGUUCCAGUUGUUUGUUCCUAUCUCCUGAAUCUACCACCCUGUGACUUUCUGUGGCGCAUGCAGGAGAAGAUCCCCAUAACAGAAAAGAGAAGUCAGGUUCCGUUUCCACUGCCUUAUCGUGUGAUGUGCUGGAGAGCUGCUUAUCCCUGUUCCUGCGCGGCAUGCGCUCUGAAUAUAAAUCUGUCUCUGGGGAAAUUAGAAUCCAAAGAGCUUCUGAGGGGCAGGUCUGCUGUAGCUUUGUGAAGAAGAGACCGAGACUGUUAAGACUCUGGGGGUUCCCAGUUUGAUAUUUAAGUAUUGAAAAUGUGCCAUUUAUUGGGGAGGGGCUGUCAUCUCAAAGGUUCCUUUGCCUUUCCCUCCCUUCCUUUUGCUGCCUCUCAGACAAGGUAAAGCUGCAACAAUAGAUUCCUACAGUUUAAGGGCAGCAGGGACAAUGGGAUCAUUUGAUCUGACCGCCUGUGUAAUGCAGGCCAUAGAAUUUCAUCCAUUUUCCCCUGUACGGAGCCAAAUAACGUGUUGGACUAUGUUGGCAUGCAGGCCUGAUGGCUGGAGAGAGGGAGAAUACAACACUGCCCUCAGCAGUUUCUUCCAGUGGGGCACCAGUGAACAUGCCAAAGCUAUCAACUCCGUCACUUGGGAGCCCUGCAGCUUUAGGUGCUUGUCUGCAUGGGAAUAGUUCCUGCCAUGGCCAUAGCAGAAUAGCUUUGGAAGCGGAGUAGUCAUUUUUGGGAAUAAAGUUGUUUUUAUUUGGAA
Caretta caretta (loggerhead turtle) is the source of this 1586-nucleotide long non-coding RNA. RefSeq lists it as uncharacterized. NCBI's taxonomy places the organism in Eukaryota, Metazoa, Chordata, Testudines, Cheloniidae. The record is from RefSeq and is a predicted model, not a curated record.